UACGGAAGGCAGCAGUGGGGAAUAUUGCACAAUGGGCGCAAGCCUGAUGCAGCCAUGCCGCGUGUAUGAAGAAGGCCUUCGGGUUGUAAAGUACUUUCAGUCGUGAGGAAGGUGUUAAGGUUAAUAACCUUAGCAAUUGACGUUAGCGACAGAAGAAGCACCGGCUAACUCCGUGCCAGCAGCCGCGGUAAUACGGAGGGUGCGAGCGUUAAUCGGAAUUACUGGGCGUAAAGGGCACGCAGGCGGUUAAUUAAGUUGGAUGUGAAAUCCCCGGGCUUAACCUGGGAAUGGCAUUCAAGACUGGUUAGCUAGAGUCUUGUAGAGGGGGUAGAAUUCCAUGUGUAGCGGUGAAAUGCGUAGAGAUGUGGAGGAAUACCGGUGGCGAAGGCGGCCCCUGGACAAAGACUGACGCUCAUGUGCGAAAGCGUGGGGAGCAAAAC
Molecule: ribosomal RNA, 440 nt
Filed under: uncultured bacterium
Lineage: Bacteria
Description: bacterial SSU rRNA
Rfam family: Bacterial small subunit ribosomal RNA
Source: RNAcentral